AAUGAACGCUGGCGGUAGGCCUAACACAUGCAAGUCGAACGGCAGCACAGGAGAGCUUGCUCUCUGGGUGGCGAGUGGCGGACGGGUGAGGAAUACAUCGGAAUCUACUUUUUCGUGGGGGAUAACGUAGGGAAACUUACGCUAAUACCGCAUACGACCUACGGGUGAAAGCAGGGGAUCUUCGGACCUUGCGCGAUUGAAUGAGCCGAUGUCGGAUUAGCUAGUUGGCGGGGUAAAGGCCCACCAAGGCGACGAUCCGUAGCUGGUCUGAGAGGAUGAUCAGCCACAAUGGAACUGAGACACGGUCCAGACUCCUACGGGAGGCAGUAGUGGGGAAUAUUGGACAAUGGGCGCAAGCCUGAUCCAGCCAUACCGCGUGGGUGAAGAAGGCCUUCGGGUUGUAAAGCCCUUUUGUUGGGAAAGAAAUCCAGCUGGUUAAUACCCGGUUGGGAUGACGGUACCCAAAGAAUAAGCACCGGCUAACUUCGUGCCAGCAGCCGCCGUAA
RNAcentral lists this ribosomal RNA (506 nucleotides) under uncultured bacterium. RNAcentral describes it as "partial 16S ribosomal RNA". It matches the Rfam family "Bacterial small subunit ribosomal RNA", at positions 29 to 523 of the family's 1533-position model. The record is from RNAcentral.